UACGUAGGGGGCUAGCGUUGUCCGGAAUCAUUGGGCGUAAAGAGCGUGUAGGCGGCUCGGUAAGUCCGCUGUGAAAGUCCAGGGCUCAACCCUGGGAUGCGGAUGGAUACUGUCGAGCUCGAGUCCGGAAGAGGCGAGUGGAAUUCCUGGUGUAGCGGUGAAAUGCGCAGAUAUCAGGAAGAACACCCGUGGCUAAGGCGGCUCUCUAGUACGGUACUGACGCUGAGACGCGAAAGCGUGGGGAGCGAACAGG
Molecule: ribosomal RNA, 253 nt
Filed under: uncultured bacterium
Lineage: Bacteria
Description: partial 16S ribosomal RNA
Rfam family: Bacterial small subunit ribosomal RNA
Source: RNAcentral